GACCAACUAAGUUAGUUCUUGGUAUGAGCUUUCGUGUGCAAGCACACUUCUUCAGAUACCAGGUAUCUGAAGAAGUGUGCUUGCACACGAAAGCUCAUACCAAGAACUAACUUAGUUGG
Molecule: non-coding RNA, 119 nt
Organism: Podarcis lilfordi (Lilford's wall lizard)
Lineage: Eukaryota; Metazoa; Chordata; Lepidosauria; Squamata; Lacertidae
Source: the annotation of a GenBank genome assembly